AGAGAGAGAGAGAAGAGAGAAACAUCAGUUGCUUGCCCCUCAUUUGCACCAUGACCAAGGAUGGAGCUCACAACCUAGAUGUGCAAAUGAAGACUCACACUGCUGUAGUACCUGCGGCAAGGACACAUUAUCUGCUACCAGGCAUUGCCCCCAUGCAGAUAUGAUAACAAUGAGACCUGCUGGUGGGACUGAGGACAUGUUUCAUUGCCUGGAAACUGGAGACACUGGGUUCACGGCAGUAAAAACAGAUUCAUCUUGGGCAAGAGGGUGAAAGGAAGGGAGUGUAAGAAGACUGCCAUAGAAAACCACUACUUUGCUAUUACAGAGACCAUGAGCCAAGAGUUUGCAAGCUCCAUGGAUGAAGGAAACAAGGCGAAAGAUCACCAGUUUAUGAAACAAGAACUAGAUUUCAUAUUUGGAAGCUGGCUCCUAUAUGUUCUUUUUAAAGCAUCCCAGGUCUUCAAGAGUACUUAGAUAAUCAUAAACUUGGAGAUGACAAAGGGCAGAAGUGGUGCCACUCUCCAUCUGUGCCCAGGGCAGACAUUAAUAAUCAAUUCCAGUAUUCUUUAUCACUAAUCAGGGAGGCUGACUUGAGACUCUAGAAGCCUCCACCAAUUAACCGAGUUGGAGUUGGCAAGUAAGAUGAAACAAGUUUGCUCUUCUACCCUAAUCAACCCUUUUGUUGUACAAAAGAAGUGAUCAAGACACAGAGAGAAGAAGCAACCUGACAGAGGUAGCACUGAAUGUUCACAUUAAUAAGUCCUCUUCCAGCUUUGCCGCUACCCAGACUACAGUUCUUUUUGCUCAGCCCCCGUCUUGUGCGUCUCUGUGAGAAGUUCUGAGGUGUCUGAUUACCUGAAAGAGGGUUCAGAGAAUUAAAUCUGGGAGCUUUGAUUUCCCGCCACUGCAGACUUUCCAUCAGUAUUUAUGUAAUGGGCCA
This is a long non-coding RNA of Artibeus jamaicensis (Jamaican fruit-eating bat), 940 nucleotides long. RefSeq lists it as uncharacterized. NCBI's taxonomy places the organism in Eukaryota, Metazoa, Chordata, Mammalia, Chiroptera, Phyllostomidae. The transcript is spliced from 4 exons. The record is from RefSeq and is a predicted model, not a curated record.